GAGUAAUGUCUGGGAAACUGCCUGAUGGAGGGGGAUAACUACUGGAAACGGUAGCUAAUACCGCAUAACGUCGCAAGACCAAAGAGGGGGACCUUCGGGCCUCUUGCCAUCAGAUGUGCCCAGAUGGGAUUAGCUAGUAGGUGGGGUAACGGCUCACCUAGGCGACGAUCCCUAGCUGGUCUGAGAGGAUGACCAGCCACACUGGAACUGAGACACGGUCCAGACUCCUACGGGAGGCAGCAGUGGGGAAUAUUGCACAAUGGGCGCAAGCCUGAUGCAGCCAUGCCGCGUGUGUGAAGAAGGCCUUCGGGUUGUAAAGCACUUUCAGCGGGGAGGAAGGGAGUAAGGUUAAUAACCUUAUUCAUUGACGUUACCCGCAGAAGAAGCACCGGCUAACUCCGUGCCAGCAGCCGCGGUAAUACGGAGGGUGCAAGCGUUAAUCGGAAUUACUGGGCGUAAAGCGCACGCAGGCGGUCUGUCAAGUCGGAUGUGAAAUCCCCGGGCUCAACCUGGGAACUGCAUCCGAAACUGGCAGGCUUGAGUCUCGUAGAGGGAGGUAGAAUUCCAGGUGUAGCGGUGAAAUGCGUAG
Molecule: ribosomal RNA, 589 nt
Filed under: uncultured bacterium
Lineage: Bacteria
Description: bacterial SSU rRNA
Rfam family: Bacterial small subunit ribosomal RNA
Source: RNAcentral